Molecule: long non-coding RNA, 422 nt
Organism: Aquila chrysaetos chrysaetos
Lineage: Eukaryota; Metazoa; Chordata; Aves; Accipitriformes; Accipitridae
Exons: 3
Source: RefSeq, a predicted model, not a curated record
GCAGCUGCAGAAGUGCCAGCACCCUGGAGUCACCCUCGCAUCGGGCAUCCCUGCCGCCGCCAGGGCCCUGCGACCCUCUGGGAAUCUCUCCCUCCCCAAGCAGUUUUAUUUCAAGAGAACUGGGACCUCACUGGGCAGCUCCCAAAGGCGUCUGUCAGCACUCCACUGAGGAUGUCCCUCUUCAGGAGGACCAAGAUGAGGAUGGCGAUCUGCAGGAAGGCGAGGAACAGAAGAAAUCUCCUGCGGGACAGGAGAAAGGUUAGGCCGAGCAGGGGGUAAAUUUGUCUCCAGCUCUCGACAACCACCCUCUUUGAAUGCCACCGUGGGACCUUGCACCGUGCUGGGCACAACACAUCCUGCUUGGGACUGGGGUGAGGCUCUGCUGUACAUCUCCCCAGUGGGCCCCCAAAAUCCCCUGCUAU